AACCCAGGGGAAUUGGCCUCUCAAGUGUAAACCGGCGGGAGGUUGAAAGGCGGGCCAAACAGGCUUCAAAAUUUUGAAAAGCCUAGGCCUUUCGGGGUUCGCAUUGUAAUUUGUAGAGGAUGCUUUGGGUAAAACGCCAGUCUAAGUUCCUUGGAACAGGACGUCAUAGAGGGUGAGAAUCCCGUAUGUGACUGGAAAUGUUAACCUAUGUAAAGCUCCUUCGACGAGUCGAGUUGUUUGGGAAUGCAGCUCUAAAUGGGAGGUAAAUUUCUUCUAAAGCUAAAUAUUGGCGAGAGACCGAUAGCGCACAAGUAGAGUGAUCGAAAGAUGAAAAGCACUUUGGAAAGAGAGUUAAAAAGCACGUGAAAUUGUUGAAAGGGAAGCGCUUGCAAUCAGACUUGUUUAAACUGUUCGGCCGGUCUUCUGACCGGUUUACUCAGUUUGGACAGGCCAGCAUCAGUUUCGGCGGCCGGAUAAAGGCUCUGGGAAUGUGGCCUCCACUUCGGUGGAGGUGUUAUAGCCCAGUGUGUAAUACGGCCAGCCGGGACUGAGGUCCGCGCUCGGCUAGG
RNAcentral lists this ribosomal RNA (569 nucleotides) under Aureobasidium pullulans. RNAcentral's name for it is "partial large subunit ribosomal RNA". It matches the Rfam family "Eukaryotic large subunit ribosomal RNA", at positions 1 to 614 of the family's 3401-position model. Lineage: Eukaryota; Fungi; Ascomycota; Dothideomycetes; Dothideales; Saccotheciaceae. The record is from RNAcentral.